This 72-nucleotide transfer RNA is filed under the name Thermoleophilaceae bacterium. RNAcentral's name for it is "tRNA-Gln". It matches the Rfam family "tRNA". From Rfam's summary of the family: Transfer RNA (tRNA) molecules are approximately 80 nucleotides in length. Their secondary structure includes four short double-helical elements and three loops (D, anti-codon, and T loops). Further hydrogen bonds mediate the characteristic L-shaped molecular structure. tRNAs have two regions of fundamental functional importance: the anti-codon, which is responsible for specific mRNA codon recognition, and the 3' end, to which the tRNAs corresponding amino acid is attached (by aminoacyl-tRNA synthetases). tRNAs cope with the degeneracy of the genetic code in two manners: having more than one tRNA (with a specific anti-codon) for a particular amino acid; and 'wobble' base-pairing, i.e. permitting non-standard base-pairing at the 3rd anti-codon position. RNAcentral also lists the same sequence under 1 other name. Lineage: Bacteria; Bacillati; Actinomycetota; Thermoleophilia; Thermoleophilales; Thermoleophilaceae. The record is from RNAcentral.
UGGGGAAUGGUGUAAUCGGCAGCACUACUGCCUCUGGAGCAGUCAGUCCUGGUUCGAGUCCAGGUUCCCCAG